RNAcentral lists this ribosomal RNA (253 nucleotides) under uncultured bacterium. RNAcentral's name for it is "partial 16S ribosomal RNA". It matches the Rfam family "Bacterial small subunit ribosomal RNA", at positions 524 to 776 of the family's 1533-position model. The record is from RNAcentral.
UACGUAGGUGGCAAGCGUUGUCCGGAUUUACUGGGUGUAAAGGGCGUGCAGCCGGGCUGACAAGUCAGAUGUGAAAUCCCGCGGCUCAACCGCGGAACUGCAUUUGAAACUGGUAGACUUGAGUGCAGGAGAGGAGAGUGGAAUUCCAUGUGUAGCGGUGAAAUGCGUAGAUAUAUGGAGGAACACCGGUGGCGAAAGCGGCUCUCUGGCCUGUAACUGACACUGAGGCUCGAAAGCGUGGGGAGCAAACAGG